This 356-nucleotide unclassified non-coding RNA is filed under the name uncultured fungus. RNAcentral describes it as "partial contains small subunit ribosomal RNA, internal transcribed spacer 1, and 5.8S ribosomal RNA". The stretch from base 1 to 73 matches the Rfam family "Eukaryotic small subunit ribosomal RNA", at positions 1759 to 1831 of the family's 1831-position model. Lineage: Eukaryota; Fungi. The record is from RNAcentral.
CCAAACUUGGUCAUUUAGAGGAAGUAAAAGUCGUAACAAGGUUUCCGUAGGUGAACCUGCGGAAGGAUCAUUGCUGAUGCCGGCGGCAGCGUCGAGCCCUCGCGAGGGGGUGAGGCCUGCCGCUUCCAACAUCAUCUGCCCCUUUGUGAACCUGGCACUGGCUGCGCUGAAGCGCGAGCGAGCUUUGGGGCCCGCUCGUCCUCCCCUCCUCUUGCGAGGAGGGGAUAGGCCGCCUCUGCCCAAACAACCUGUCUUUUAUUGCCUGUCUCCCCAGACUGAAGCAACAAAAAACAAAAACAUAUCUUACAACUUUUAACAAUGGAUAUCUUGGCUCGCGCAUCGAUGAAGAACGCAGC